Molecule: long non-coding RNA, 2386 nt
Filed under: Homo sapiens (human)
Lineage: Eukaryota; Metazoa; Chordata; Mammalia; Primates; Hominidae
Description: HSALNT0281579
Source: RNAcentral
GGGAGCUCAGUGGAAAACAUCAGUUGUGCCCACGCACCCAACUGUUCCAGUAACAUAAAAGCAACAGCAGUUGGAGAUACUUAAGGCAGCCAUGGUAUUGACAGAAAAAGACUCUGGAUUUGGAUUGCAGCUGUAGCAUUUAUUAAAUGCACGUCACAACCUCUCUGAGCUUCGUUUUCCCCACGUUUCAAAUGGGAUGCAGUGGACCCUGUUGCCUACCCGGUAACUUUUUACCUUCUUUAUCCUUUUUUACAAAACCUCAAUGUCAUUCAGGACUCAGCUUCUCUUGUGGUUAGUUUUGGCCAUGUUAACUGAGUUCAGGCCGAAAGAACAUGGGUGCAAGUGGUGACGUGCAAUACUUCCAGACUUGGAUUGUUGAAAACCUUCCAUUCCAUCUUCCGUUUUUUUUCCCUCUCCAAUUGGCUGCAAAUAGAGAACAACUUCAAAGCAACUUUGAGAGCCUUGUAUGGAAGAUGGCAACUUUGAGAGCCUUGUGUUGAAGAUGGCAAAGCCACAAGAUGGAAAGUGCUUGGGUUCUUGGAUCAUUGUAUGGAGGGGUUCUGCCCAACUAGGAUCACCCAGGCUGGAUUGUCAUGUCAAAGAAUUGGGUCCUGAAAGUAGCAUACUCAAUGGGGACUGUGAGCAUGCAUCACUUAAUCAGUACAUUGGCACUCCACUCCCUCCUGGGCCAGAUUGUAUGUAGGUCAACACCUCCAGUGGCUGAACCUCCAGAAGGGCUAUCACAAAGGUCUGAGAAUCUGUCUCCCUUAAGGCAGCGAGAAGUGGUCACAGACACGGCUUGGCUGCUAGCAUGGCAGAAGGUCUAGUGGGGGCAGCUGGGACUCCACCAGCCCAGGUACAAGGUCUUUGUAUUUACUCUUUUUUUUGGCCUAGAAUGCUGUUCCCAGAUGGCCACAUGGAUUAGCCCCUCACUUGCUUCCAGAAUUUGCUCAAAUGCCAUCCUCAGAGAGACCUUUCGUUUGAUGCUUCAGGAUAUUGGCCCCAAAAUAAUAUAGAAAUGAGUUAUGAUCCUGGGUAAGCUACUUACUAAAUUAUGACUUUUGGGAUAAUUUUAACCCCCCAACCUUCAUUUCCUUGUUUGCAGAGUGAAGAUAAGAAUACCUAUUUUAAAGUUCUGUUGUGAGGUUCAAGUGCCACAUAUGGGGCCACCAGAAGCUGUUGGCGCCCCUCCCACAUCCCUGUGGUCCACUCAGGAGGUUAACUGCAGUCAGCUGUCAUUCUGCUGGUGGCUUCCUGCGUCUUUCUGCCUGAGCUUGUUCUUUGGCCCUGGAGGAACCCUCCACCAAUGAGAGAUGGGAAUUGUUGGAUAAAAGUCCCAGCUUCCACUCCAAGGCAUGUUCAUGAUCCAUGCAGCCUCUGAGAGGCCUCCCAUGGGCCUGAGCCCCAGUUGCCCACACUGGUAAUACACACAUCUGCUCACUCUCCACUGGCUUUCCUCUCUCCCUUUCUCACUGCUUCACCUUCCCAAUGUGCCUCCUGGACCACGUCCCAAAUAAAUGAUUGCACUCAAAUCCUCGUCUUGGGGUCUGCUAAGGGGAAAUCCAAGUCCAGACAUUGGUAUGACUCAAGUGCUUAAUAAAUAGACCAUGUCACUAUUGUAGUUUCUAGAUACCCAAAAUUCAAAUGUGGGUCUCUCUGCUUAUAUUUUGUAUUUUCUAUGUAAAAAAUUCCCUAAAGCCCUCCAGGAAGGACUCCUCUCCCUGUGGCUCCAUGCCAGUCCUAUGCUCUGCAGCCAUAGGGAGGAUUGCUGUGCCAAUGCUCACAAACCUUGGGGCUGCCAUCCCCAAGACUCCUUGGACUCCAUACAAAGAUUGACCUUAGGAGGAGUGAGUCACAACAACUCCAUGUGAGUAUUGGGAGGCUUUAUAGGUUGAAUUAUGACUUUCCAAAGAGAUUUGUCUUAAACCACAAUUCCUUAAAAUGUGAUCUUAUUAGGCAACAGGGUCUUUGCAAAUGAAAGUUAAGAUGAAGUCAUUAGUGUGGUCCCCAAUUCAACAUGACUGGUGUCCUUAUUAAAAGUGGAGAUUUGGACACAGAAAGACACAAACAAGGAGAACACCAUGUGAAGAUUGGGAUCAUGUGACCAAAAGCCAAGGAACUACCAGAAGGUAAGAGAGAAGACCAGGAACAAAUCCUUUCCUAGUGCCUUCAGAGGGAGUGUGACCUAGUUGACACCUUGAUUUUGGACUUCUAGCCUCUGAAAUUGUGAGACAAUAAAUGCCUGUUGUUUAAGCCACCCAGCUUGUGGCACUUUGUUACAUCAGCCCUACCAGACUAAUAAAGGGGAAUUGUCUUUAUGUACUGCCUAUGUGUGGCUGCAGGAACCAUGUGUAUGUAUAACAAUGGGGUUUUCAUGAAGCUGGCU